GACAGCGUACUGAACUUGUAGAAAAUUCAAAAGUUAGUAUGUGUACAGUUUGUCAUUCUUAUUUUUGUAGCAAGUUUUCUUUUCUGUGAAGUAAUAACCAUCUUUUUCUUAAAUAGGUUUUAAAUGCUAGUGAAAAGACAGCUGUAGACAACUUGUUUCAGAAAGACUCACUUGUUCGACAAAGCCAGCUGGUGGUAGAUUGGCUAGAGAGCAUUGCCAAGGAUGAAAUUGGGGACUUCUCUGAUAAUAUUGAGUUUUAUGCAAAAUCUGUAUAUUGGGAGAACACGCUACAUAUCCUAAAGCAGAGACAGUUAAGUACGUACAUUGGAAGUUCUCGGGCUCUGGUAACGGAGUUGG
Non-coding RNA from Struthio camelus australis, 357 nucleotides. The record is from RefSeq and is a predicted model, not a curated record. Lineage: Eukaryota; Metazoa; Chordata; Aves; Struthioniformes; Struthionidae.